AUUGAACGCUGGCGGCAGGCCUAACACAUGCAAGUCGAGCGGAUGAGGGGAGCUUGCUCCUGGAUUCAGCGGCGGACGGGUGAGUAAUGCCUAGGAAUCUGCCUGGUAGUGGGGGAUAACGUCCGGAAACGGGCGCUAAUACCGCAUACGUCCUGAGGGAGAAAGUGGGUGAUCUUCGGACCUCACGCUAUCAGAUGAGCCUAGGUCGGAUUAGCUAGUUGGUGGGGUAAAGGCCUACCAAGGCGACGAUCCGUAACUGGUCUGAGAGGAUGAUCAGUCACACUGGAACUGAGACACGGUCCAGACUCCUACGGGAGGCAGCAGUGGGGAAUAUUGGACAAUGGGCGAAAGCCUGAUCCAGCCAUGCCGCGUGUGUGAAGAAGGUCUUCGGAUUGUAAAGCACUUUAAGUUGGGAGGAAGGGCAGUAAGUUAAUACCUUGCUGUUUUGACGUUACCAACAGAAUAAGCACCGGCUAACUUCGUG
Molecule: ribosomal RNA, 484 nt
Filed under: uncultured bacterium
Lineage: Bacteria
Description: partial 16S ribosomal RNA
Rfam family: Bacterial small subunit ribosomal RNA
Source: RNAcentral